AAUUCUCAACCUCUCUAGUUUUCUGAACUAGUAGAUGGCUUGGAUGUGGGGGUAUGUGCAGGCUUUCACAAGUCAGCUCCCCUGAAAUGCAUUAGCCGGUACUAUCUGACCGUCUAUUGGUGUGAUAAUUAUCUACGCCGUGGACUGAAGAAUUUGUGCUGCUUACAACCGUCCUGCAUGGGACAAUCAAUGACA
This 195-nucleotide unclassified non-coding RNA is filed under the name uncultured Psilocybe. RNAcentral's name for it is "sequence contains ITS2". Lineage: Eukaryota; Fungi; Basidiomycota; Agaricomycetes; Agaricales; Strophariaceae. The record is from RNAcentral.